AUAUUUUUCAGAUAUGCAUCCCUUGCACAACAGUCCUUCAUUUUUAAAGCUUAUUGAUGAAGAUGACCCGAUAUUUUUGGUGAAGAGCUUCUUUCAGACUCCUUCCCCUACAAGGAACUAUUGAAUGGGUUCCUAUGAGAAGUUAAAGAAAAGUUAUGGAUAAUGAAAACAAUGCUCCUUCGUUAUUAAAGUCGAUUGAGGACUAUGAUCCUAUAUUUUUCGAAUUAUUCGUCGACCAAAAACAGGUUAGUUCAGUUUUGUUGGUGUUGUUUGUUUUUUGAUAUGUAUAGUCUUUCUUUUUUAUUUUU
Helianthus annuus (common sunflower) is the source of this 308-nucleotide long non-coding RNA. RefSeq lists it as uncharacterized. Lineage: Eukaryota; Viridiplantae; Streptophyta; Magnoliopsida; Asterales; Asteraceae. The record is from RefSeq and is a predicted model, not a curated record. The transcript is spliced from 3 exons.